CAACGUGCUCCGGGGUCGGUGUAAGUCCGAACCGGCGGUUAUAGUCCGCGACCCGCGCGUCCCGUGCAGAAAGUUUGCACAGGACAAACGGUUGAAUCGGUGAAAUUCCGAUACCGACAGUUAAAGUCUGGAUGGGAGAAGCACGUAG
RNAcentral lists this non-coding RNA (148 nucleotides) under Arthrobacter sp. RNAcentral describes it as "FMN sequence". It matches the Rfam family "FMN riboswitch aptamer (RFN element)". Rfam says of the family: The RFN element is a highly conserved domain that is found frequently in the 5'-untranslated regions of prokaryotic mRNAs that encode for flavin mononucleotide (FMN) biosynthesis and transport proteins. This element is a metabolite-dependent riboswitch that directly binds FMN in the absence of proteins. In Bacillus subtilis, the riboswitch most likely controls gene expression by causing premature transcription termination within the 5' untranslated region of the ribDEAHT operon and precluding access to the ribosome-binding site of ypaA mRNA. Lineage: Bacteria; Bacillati; Actinomycetota; Actinomycetes; Micrococcales; Micrococcaceae. RNAcentral also lists the same sequence under 1 other name. The record is from RNAcentral.